CCUACGGGCGGCAGCAGUGAGGAAUAUUGGUCAAUGGCCGAGAGGCUGAACCAGCCAAGCCGCGUGAGGGAAGACGGUGCCACGGGUUGUAAACCUCUUUUGUCGGGGAGCAAAGCGAACCACGAGAGGCUCAUCGAGAGUACCCGAAGAAAAAGCAUCGGCUAACUCCGUGCCAGCAGCCGCGGUAAUACGGAGGAUGCGAGCGUUAUCCGGAUUUAUUGGGUUUAAAGGGUGCGUAGGCGGACUGGCAAGUCAGCGGUCAAAGUGCGGGGCUCAACCCCGUACUGCCGUUGAAACUGCAUGCCUUGAGUGCGCGAGAAGUAUGCGGAAUGCGUGGUGUAGCGGUGAAAUGCAUAGAUAUUGCGCAGAACUCCGAUUGCGAAGGCAGCAUACCGGCGCGCAACUGACGCUCAUGCACGAAAGCGUGGGUAUCGAACAGGAUUAGAUACCCGAGUAGUC
This 459-nucleotide ribosomal RNA is filed under the name uncultured bacterium. RNAcentral describes it as "partial 16S ribosomal RNA". It matches the Rfam family "Bacterial small subunit ribosomal RNA", at positions 338 to 795 of the family's 1533-position model. The record is from RNAcentral.